Molecule: long non-coding RNA, 882 nt
Organism: Ictalurus punctatus (channel catfish)
Lineage: Eukaryota; Metazoa; Chordata; Actinopteri; Siluriformes; Ictaluridae
Source: Ensembl
AAGAAAACAAACAAGGUCAAGACUACAGAAAGAUAAUACCUCAAGUCUUCUCCUUUCACUUAAGCAUAUAGAGGACGGACCAAAGAUAAGAGCUAUGGGAGCAUGUGACAGCCACACAAUGUCCCCUCGGUUGGCCUCAUUGACCGGCCCAUGGCACCUUCCAGGUAUGGAUCAAUUUGCAAAAGUUCAUCAGUUGCAGCCCUAACCCUUCAAACCUUGAUGGAAGUGCUUGCUUGCCAAUCAUCCUCACAUCACCUUCACCUGCAGUCAUGUCUGACCUGGCCGCAUAUGAGAGAUAACAUUCGUGUCUGCAGAGCUGAGAGAGGGGACAAAAGGAAGUUUGACGUUAAUGAUUAACGGCGCUAAAAGCCCCUGCUUUUGUAUUCCCAUGGUACCGAGGCUAUCUGGUGGCCAUGUGACCUGCGUGGAGGAGAUUGGGGGUUAGCGGUAGAGCAAACACAGGUGCUGUGUUUGGGUUGGAGUCGCCUGCGCUGUCAGGGACAACCACAAACACACGCAGCUAUGCCAAGCUCCACAAACAGCCGCCUACGCCAACAGAUCAAGUCCAAUGUGCUCCUCCCCGUCUUCCUAUAUGUUCCACAUUGGAAAAAGUACCUGAUUUAUGUCUAGUGCAUUCUAGCUGGGGCAUUCUUAAGGAUUGUCCUUGAUGUAUAGUCUAAAUAAAAACACAAUUGCCUUUUACUUUUAUAAUAAUAAAAAAAACUAUUAAUACAUGCUUUCAUUUAUGUACCUGUAUAUUCCACUGUGCUGAAUGAUCAUGUUCUCAUGCCACAUGCAACUGCUAAUCAAUUUUGCUGAGGUUGCCUCACUGUAAUUAAUGAGCUGUUCUCAAUCAUUCUCAAUCAUGCUAAACACAAUGUU